This 1470-nucleotide ribosomal RNA is filed under the name uncultured organism. RNAcentral describes it as "SSU rRNA". It matches the Rfam family "Bacterial small subunit ribosomal RNA". The record is from RNAcentral.
AUUGAACGCUGGUGGCAGGCCUAACACAUGCAAGUCGAGCGGUAGCACAGAGAGCUUGCUCUCGGGUGACGAGCGGCGGACGGGUGAGUAGUGUCUGGGAAACUGCCUGAUGGAGGGGGAUAACUACUGGAAACGGUAGCUAAUACCGCAUAACGUCGCAAGACCAAAGUGGGGGACCUUCGGGCCUCAUGCCAUCAGAUGUGCCCAGAUGGGAUUAGCUAGUAGGUGGGGUAACGGCUCACCUAGGCGACGAUCCCUAGCUGGUCUGAGAGGAUGACCAGCCACACUGGAACUGAGACACGGUCCAGACUCCUACGGGAGGCAGCAGUGGGGAAUAUUGCACAAUGGGCGCAAGCCUGAUGCAGCCAUGCCGCGUGUGUGAAGAAGGCCUUCGGGUUGUAAAGCACUUUCAGCGGGGAGGAAGGCGUUAAGGUUAAUAACCUUGGCGAUUGACGUUACCCGCAGAAGAAGCACCGGCUAACUCCGUGCCAGCAGCCGCGGUAAUACGGAGGGUGCAAGCGUUAAUCGGAAUUACUGGGCGUAAAGCGCACGCAGGCGGUCUGUCAAGUCGGAUGUGAAAUCCCCGGGCUCAACCUGGGAACUGCAUUCGAAACUGGCAGGCUAGAGUCUUGUAGAGGGGGGUAGAAUUCCAGGUGUAGCGGUGAAAUGCGUAGAGAUCUGGAGGAAUACCGGUGGCGAAGGCGGCCCCCUGGACAAAGACUGACGCUCAGGUGCGAAAGCGUGGGGAGCAAACAGGAUUAGAUACCCUGGUAGUCCACGCCGUAAACGAUGUCGAUUUGGAGGUUGUGCCCUUGAGGCGUGGCUUCCGGAGCUAACGCGUUAAAUCGACCGCCUGGGGAGUACGGCCGCAAGGUUAAAACUCAAAUGAAUUGACGGGGGCCCGCACAAGCGGUGGAGCAUGUGGUUUAAUUCGAUGCAACGCGAAGAACCUUACCUGGUCUUGACAUCCACAGAACUUUCCAGAGAUGGAUUGGUGCCUUCGGGAACUGUGAGACAGGUGCUGCAUGGCUGUCGUCAGCUCGUGUUGUGAAAUGUUGGGUUAAGUCCCGCAACGAGCGCAACCCUUACCCUUUGUUGCCAGCGGUUCGGCCGGGAACUCAAAGGAGACUGCCAGUGAUAAACUGGAGGAAGGUGGGGAUGACGUCAAGUCAUCAUGGCCCUUACGACCAGGGCUACACACGUGCUACAAUGGCAUAUACAAAGAGAAGCGACCUCGCGAGAGCAAGCGGACCUCAUAAAGUAUGUCGUAGUCCGGAUUGGAGUCUGCAACUCGACUCCAUGAAGUCGGAAUCGCUAGUAAUCGUAGAUCAGAAUGCUACGGUGAAUACGUUCCCGGGCCUUGUACACACCGCCCGUCACACCAUGGGAGUGGGUUGCAAAAGAAGUAGGUAGCUUAACCUCCGGGAGGGCGCUUACCACUUUGUGAUUCAUGACUGGGGUGAAGUCGUA